Molecule: non-coding RNA, 30 nt
Filed under: Homo sapiens (human)
Lineage: Eukaryota; Metazoa; Chordata; Mammalia; Primates; Hominidae
Source: RNAcentral
UUGAUGGAAUCAAAGGUCAUGGGCGCCAGG